RNAcentral lists this ribosomal RNA (323 nucleotides) under uncultured bacterium. Its description in RNAcentral is "bacterial SSU rRNA". It matches the Rfam family "Bacterial small subunit ribosomal RNA", at positions 28 to 334 of the family's 1533-position model. The record is from RNAcentral.
GAUGAACGCUGGCGGCGUGCUUAACACAUGCAAGUCGAACGAAGCACCUUGAUUUGAUUCUUCGGAUGAAGAUCUUGGUGACUGAGUGGCGACGGGUGAGUAACGCGUGGGUAACCUGCCUCAUACAGGGGGAUAACAGUUAGAAAUGACUGCUAAUACCGCAUAAGACCACAGCACCGCAUGGUGCAGGGGUAAAAACUCCGGUGGUAUGAGAUGGACCCGCGUCUGAUUAGGUAGUUGGUAAGGUAACGGCUUACCAAGGCGACGAUGCAUAGCCGAGUUGAGAGACUGAUCGGCCACAUUGGGACUGAGACACGGCCCUU